UACGGAGGGUGCGAGCGUUGUCCGGAAUCACUGGGCGUAAAGGGCGCGUAGGUGGCGGAGCAGGUCAACGGUGAAAGCUCGACGCUCAACGUCGAGUCGGCCGUCGAGACUGCUUUGCUCGAGCACUGUAGAGGCAGAUGGAAUUCCGGGUGUAGCGGUGGAAUGCGUAGAGAUCCGGAAGAACACCGGUGGCGAAGGCGGUCUGCUGGGCAGUUGCUGACACUGAGGCGCGACAGCGUGGGGAGCAAACAGG
RNAcentral lists this ribosomal RNA (253 nucleotides) under uncultured bacterium. RNAcentral's name for it is "partial 16S ribosomal RNA". It matches the Rfam family "Bacterial small subunit ribosomal RNA", at positions 524 to 776 of the family's 1533-position model. The record is from RNAcentral.